This 490-nucleotide ribosomal RNA is filed under the name uncultured bacterium. RNAcentral's name for it is "partial 16S ribosomal RNA". It matches the Rfam family "Bacterial small subunit ribosomal RNA", at positions 29 to 507 of the family's 1533-position model. The record is from RNAcentral.
AAUGAACGCUGGCGGCAUGCCUUACACAUGCAAGUCGAACGGCAGCAUGAUCUGGCUUGCUUGGUUGAUGGCGAGUGGCGAACGGGUGAGUAAUGCAUCUCAACGUGCCUUUUUGUGGGGGAUAACGUAGCGAAAGAUACGCUAAUACCGCAUAUUCUCUGUGGAGGAGAGCAGGGGGCCUUCUGGCCUUGUGCUAGAAUAGCGGCCGAUGUCGGAUUAGCUAGUUGGUGAGGUAAAGGCUCACCAAGGCAACGAUCCGUAGCGGGUCUGAGAGGAUGAUCCGCCACACUGGAACUGAGACACGGUCCAGACUCCUACGGGAGGCAGCAGUGGGGAAUAUUGGACAAUGGGCGCAAGCCUGAUCCAGCCAUGCCGCGUGAGUGAAGAAGGCCUUCGGGUUGUAAAGCUCUUUUGGCUGGGAAGAAAACGCGCUCUCUAAUACAGGGUGUUGAUGACGGUACCAGAAUAAGAAGCACCGGCUAACUACGUG